Molecule: non-coding RNA, 303 nt
Organism: Cinara cedri
Lineage: Eukaryota; Metazoa; Arthropoda; Insecta; Hemiptera; Aphididae
Source: the annotation of a GenBank genome assembly
UUAUUUUUCGUUUUUUAACUUGUAACAAAAGCCAAUGUGAAUUAAUAAAAGCACAUCUCCAUAACACAUUCUGGGGCGAAAAGUUUCUGUUCGAGCUGAUGCCGGCGCUGCCACCGUAAUAACCACACAGAACCAUGACAAAGAGUCGCUAACGUGGGAGGAGAAGGUUAAGGAUAUCCGGUUUUCAAACUGAAACAACAACUCAUUGUUUUAAUACUACAAAGCAUUUUCACUUAUACCUUUGGGGUACACCUUAUGCCUUGUAAAUUUACAUCGGAGGCGAAAGUUAUAUUAUAAUGGUGU